Molecule: ribosomal RNA, 305 nt
Filed under: uncultured bacterium
Lineage: Bacteria
Description: bacterial SSU rRNA
Rfam family: Bacterial small subunit ribosomal RNA
Source: RNAcentral
AAGCCUACGGGGGGCAGCAGUAGGGAAUCUUCCACAAUGGGCGAAAGCCUGAUGGAGCAACGCCGCGUGGGUGAAGAAGGCUUUCGGGUUGUAAACUUCUUUUAAGAGGGAAGAGCAGAAGACGGUACCUCUUGAAUAAGCCACGGCUAACUACGUGCCAGCAGCCGCGGUAAUACGUAGGUGGCAAGCGUUGUCCGGAUUUACUGGGUGUAAAGGGCGUGCAGCCGGGAAGACAAGUCAGAUGUGAAAUCCCGCGGCUCAACCGCGGAACUGCAUUUGAAACUGUUUUUCUUGAGUACCGGAGG